RNAcentral lists this long non-coding RNA (456 nucleotides) under Carica papaya (papaya). RNAcentral's name for it is "long non-coding RNA (CPAP_LNC010741)". Lineage: Eukaryota; Viridiplantae; Streptophyta; Magnoliopsida; Brassicales; Caricaceae. The record is from RNAcentral.
GAUCACCAGCUAUCAAGUAGCAUUGAAACUAGUCUAAGUUGUUGAAGAAGCUAGAGACCUAAUACCACAACAUACCCAGCAGCUCAAGAAUUUUGUACCCUAUAAGAGGAAGCCACAAGAGCUGCACCAAUAAGAGAAAGGAUAGAGGACAAGCCCCACUAUUCUUAAUGAGGCACUAACUAAGGAAACGAAUAAGAUUUAUCCAUAUUAUGGCAGAAACCACAGUAACAAGCCCUGUUACAAGCUAACUAGAGCAUGUUUGAAGUGUGGAAGCACCCAAAAUCUCAUCAAAGACUGCCCUAUCUUCAAGACAGAAUAUAACAGAUCCAGGACUCAGGGGAGGGUCUAUGCUAUUACAGAGAAAGAUGUUAAAGCCUUGUAGGAUGUCAUCUAAGGUAUACUCACUAUCUAUACUAUGUUGGCUAAAGCUUUAGUAGACCUUGAUUUUACACAUUC